Long non-coding RNA from Oncorhynchus tshawytscha (Chinook salmon), 1110 nucleotides. RefSeq lists it as uncharacterized. The record is from RefSeq and is a predicted model, not a curated record. Lineage: Eukaryota; Metazoa; Chordata; Actinopteri; Salmoniformes; Salmonidae. The transcript is spliced from 3 exons.
GUUAAUAGGAACUAGCAGGUUACCUCUCCCCUUGAGUUCUUGGAUCCACGCCACAACAGCAGCAUUUUUAAGAACCUGAGGGACAUCAUUUUGGAGUGCACACACACACACCAACUCAUGAGGUCUGGCGAGGCUCUUCCUUUAUGAUGCCUUUGUUUUUCUCCCUGCUCUAAUAUGUCUGAGGCAUCCUGUUACCCUGGUGCUCCUGGGUAGAGGAUCACUUCUAACUGAAUCACAUCACAGCAGGAUCUCUCUAUGAAGGGUGUUUUUGUUCACAGAAUCACUAUUGUUCCUGCCUUGUCUCUGGCCAUCUCUGCACCAGCUCCAGUCAGAUGAAGGAGGCAGCACACUGAGUGUUUCCACUUUCCAUCUGCCACUGUGCUUGCGUAACCGUUCCAGAGGACAGCGUUGAGCAAGAUGGGGGACCCAGCACCAUGUAACAUGCAGCAUGCAGCACCAGCUGUGACUCAUGAUGAGCAGGACUCUCUCUUCCUCUUUCUCAGUCUCUCUGAGCCCGUCUGUCUGGGUCUAUGGGGAGAUGCUGGACCCCAGCUCCCCCUUGGAAGCAAUAUGUCCCACUUCCACUAAAUGUCUCCUCCAUUAGCCUACAGGCCCAUGUGCCAACAUCCUCAGGACCUGUCACUGCCCCACCUCCUCCAGGAACAAGGUGUGAGGUCACCCUUGCCUUUUGUGAUUAGCUCCCGGCUGCUUUUUUAUGAAGGAGGAACAAAGUAGCCUAGUUUUUUCUGGUAAUUACCGUGCAAUCAGUUUAUAAUUCAUGUACCUUUUGAACUGAGAAGAGCAGGAGGUUGUCACAAGGUGUGGUAACUGUGCAAUAAUACACGUGUACAUGGUUGUAUAAGUGGGGGGGCAUAAUAUUAAUAUUAUAUAUUUUUUUUUUUAUCCAGUCGGAUAAACACUCCAAACGGCCUACCCGACGCUCGGAGGCGUCCGCAUGGUCCUAAAGUACACCGUUGCCCUGUUUUGUUUCACAUUCCAAUGAUAAAACAUGGGGGACAAAAAUGUAAUUUCAGAAUGUUCCUUCCCCAGUGAAAGUUUCACCCCAGUGUAAAUGUGUAGCCUAAUUACAUUGUUGUGAAGGAGCAUCAA